Molecule: ribosomal RNA, 266 nt
Filed under: uncultured bacterium
Lineage: Bacteria
Description: partial 16S ribosomal RNA
Rfam family: Bacterial small subunit ribosomal RNA
Source: RNAcentral
AAUCUACCUACAGACUCGGGACAACAGUUAGAAAUGACUGCUAAUACCGGAUAUGCCGAAAGGUGAAAGAUUUAUCAUCUGUAGAUGAGCUUGCGUCCGAUUAGCUAGAUGGUGAGGUAAUGGCUUACCAUGGCGACGAUCGGUAGCUGGUCUGAGAGGAUGACCAGUCACACUGGGACUGAGACACGGCCCAGACUCCUACGGGAGGCAGCAGUGGGGAAUUUUCCGCAAUGGGCGAAAGCCUGACGGAGCAAUACCGCGUGAGG